CACAUAACUAAACUUUUUUUCUUGUGUUAAUCUGUUGCUUGUCAGUUUAGUUGACAGGCCCCAGUCAUGGAACAUAAGAGGCACUCCUGCAGCCUUCUUCACAGAGGCUCCCUAACUUUGCCAGACAUGCAGAACUCAGCAGAACGAGUGGAAAGAUCAGGAUUGCUCAUCAUCUCCUUGGCAGACAUCAUCAUGUUGUGAAGGUGAGUGAGAAAAGAGGCCCCAGUUGGAGGCAGGUGGAGGCGCGUGCAGCAGGCCAGGGUGCGCUUCUGUAGGGGGGCAGCUCUUCAUGGCCGUGGGUGGCUAUUGGGUACUGGAAAAUGCAAAAAACCAUUUAGUUAUUUCUUGUGUUUGGUUUAAAUCGGGUUCAGAAUCUCCUGUGUAAGAAAUGAAAGGGGGAUUUGCCUCAUGUCACUACUGUAUCCCACUCUUGCCAACUCUUUGGUGCUCAGCGAAAAUUGGGAGUCCCUCAUUGCCUGGAACAGCAGAGACACCAGGGGCUCAGGCAGCUGCACGAGCUUCCGGCCUCAGGAGAACGCUGUGCAGAAGCAGCCAUCUGAACCUCCGCCUGAAGGCCACACCCCAGCCCUCUUCUCUGGCCGGACAGAGUGUUGUCUGAGAGGUGCUCCCUGGGCAGCUGAGAGCAGUUCAAUGGACAGUUUCAUUGGUUUCUUGAUGCCAUCUCAAGAUGACGUUACCCAAAUCCUUUGGAACAUGCUUGGGACCGUGGAUUUAGGGACAUUAGUGAAGAGCCAGAGGCGGAGGGGCCUGGACCAAGGAGCUCGGCAAGUGAGGUAGGAUCUUCCCGCUGCCCCCUGGGCUCUGGACCAGACCUCAGAGCCAAUGUCUGGUCACGGUGGCCAUUCUAAGCUGCAUUCUGUUGCCCACCGGGCCAGUGGUGGCCAUGGGUGGUUUUGUUUGAUGGUUUGUCACUUGCCAUUUGUGCUGGGUGCGGUUAGGAGAGCUGGGCUGCCCGCCGUGGUGCUGCUGGACACCGCAGCUGCUGUGCCCUGGACGAGUGGCUGGCCUGGAGCAAGGUGCUUCGAGCGUGAAACACACCCAAUGGGAAGACUUAGCACAGAUAACGAGACAGCAGAUUAGUCACUUGCUGUAUGCAUUCCGUGGUGAGAUGGUAACGUUUUACAUAGGCCUGUGUAAACGUGUCACUCAUUUUAUGUUUCCUUUUACUUUUCAAACGGGGGCAGCUACUGGAAAACUUAAAAGUUGGGGGUGCCCACACGGAAUGGGAGAAGAUAUUUGCAAAUGACACUACAGAUAAAGGACUGGUAUCCAAGAUCUACAAAGAACUUCUCAAACUCAAUACACGAGAAACAAAUAAACAAAUCAAAAAAUGGGCA
This 1358-nucleotide long non-coding RNA is filed under the name Ursus maritimus (polar bear). Its description in RNAcentral is "lncRNA (ENSUMAG00000021184.1)". Lineage: Eukaryota; Metazoa; Chordata; Mammalia; Carnivora; Ursidae. The record is from RNAcentral.